RNAcentral lists this ribosomal RNA (2526 nucleotides) under Candidatus Amesbacteria bacterium RIFCSPLOWO2_01_FULL_49_25. Its description in RNAcentral is "bacterial LSU rRNA". It matches the Rfam family "Bacterial large subunit ribosomal RNA", at positions 1054 to 2925 of the family's 2925-position model. The record is from RNAcentral. Lineage: Bacteria; Candidatus Amesiibacteriota.
GACAGCCAGGAGGUUGGCUCAGAAGCAGCCAGACAGCCAGGAGGUUGGCUCAGAAGCAGCCAUCCUUUAAAGAAAGCGUAACAGCUCACUGGUCGACUAUUUGGAAUUUGGCGCGGAAAAUGAACCGAGGCUGAAGCGUUUUGCCGAAGACACAGGAACGUACAAUUUCGCUUUGCGAAAUGUUACGUUCGGUAGGGGAGCGUUGAAAUUGCAGUGAAGGGCUGGUGUGAACCAGUUUGGAGCGAUUUUAAGUGAGAAUGCCGGAAUGAGUAGCGUAAGUCCGAUGAGAAUUCGGACCGCCGAAAACCCAAGGUUUCCUUCGCUACAUUGUUUGGCGGAGGGUGAGUCGGCACCUAAGGUGAGUCCCGGUGUUACACCGGGAGUAGCUGAUGGACGAGCCGUAAAGAUUCGGCUACAAAGUGAGUGUCGUUAUUAACCAGGGAUGGACAAAAUAAGAAUCCUCGAACGCGUGCAGUGAAUGCGCGUUUAAGCUGUAAGAUAGUUGACCCGCAAAAUACGGGUUGACGUUUAAUCGAGCAGUGAUGAAGAGCUGGCUUGAGCAAUUGAGUUGGCAAUUCGGGCGGUUUUUGUUUUCGAGAAAAGAUUCGUGGUGAGACAUUUACUUUGCCGUACCGCAAUCCGACACUGGUGGGUUGGUCGAGUAGACCAAGGCGAUCGGGAGAAGGUAGUUCAAGGAACUCGGCAAAAAAGCUGGACGUAAUUUUGAGAGAUGUCCUGCCCGGUGUUACACCGGGCCGCAGCAAAAGAGUGCUCUGCGACUGUUUAACUAAAACACAGGUCUGUGCAAACUCGAAAGAGGCAGUAUACAGGCUGAGGCCUGCCCAGUGCUCGUAAGUUAAGUGGAUGGGUGCAAGCCCUGAAAUGAAGCUCGAGUGAACGGCAGCAAUAACUAUAAUUGUUCUAUGGUAGCGAAAUUCCUUGUCGGGUAAGCGGUGGAAGCAAGCCCGACGUAAAUAACUGACUCAUAUCGGUGGAGCCUCUUGACCUUUGGAUUUUAUUCGGGUUAAGAUGGUAAUACCGAGGGAAGUCGUAAUUGACCCCGUAACGACUCAGAGUAAACAUAAACUCUGGAGGCAAGCAUGCCUAAUACGUCAGUAUCGCAGGAUGUUUGUUGGUAUCUGUCGGGUUAUGCCGACGGAGAAGGCAGCUUUUGUGUAAGUUUUUCUCCCAGAAGUAAGUUGAGGACCAAACUUGAGGUCAGACCAAGCUUUUCUGUUAGUCAGAAUGUCGACCACUCUGAGGUUUUGAGAUUAUUUCAAAAGACUUUAGAUUGUGGAUCAAUUAGACCGGACAGAAGUGACAAGACCUUAAAGUUUGAAGUUCGAAGCCUAGCCGAGAUUAAUAGUAAAGUAAUACCUUUUUUUGAAAGGUAUCCACUUAAAUCUUCUAAGCAUAAAGAUUUUUUGCUUUUUUCGAAUAUUUGUCGAAAGAUAGCAGGAAAACAGAAUAUUAAGGAGAUUAUUGAUCUUGCUGUGAUGAUGAAUACUUCUGGAAUGAGAAAAUAUGAUAAACAGAAACUUUUGAGUAUUUUGCGAUAAAGGUAUAGUCUAUCCCAUUGGUGACAAUGGAUUUAUCGAUGAAGUUCCGACCCGCACGAACGGCUCAACGACAGAGCAACUGUCUUGAACUAUCACCCGGCGAAAUUGAAAUGGCUGUGAAGAUGCGGCCUAACUCUACUAGGACAAAAAGACCCUAUGGAGCUUUACUGUACCCAGGCCCUGUUUUGGAUUUUGAGAUAGUUGAGAGUAGGAGGGAUCCCGACUUUGUCGGGAGAAAGUGAAACACCUCUCGUUUUGAAAUCUCAAGACUAACUUAUUUCGGCUGGAAACGCCGAGGAGGAUAAGGUCUGGGGGGCAGUUUUACUGGGGAGGUAUCCUGCUAAAGAGUAACGCAGGAGUACUAAGGUGCACUAAACUCGGAUGGAAAUCGAGUGGAUCGUGUAACGGCAUAAGUGCGCUUGACUGUGAGAGUGACGGCUCGAGCAGGUGCGAAAGCAGGUCGUAGUGAUCCCCCGAUCCUUCGUGGGAGGGACGGGGCUUAACGGAUAAAAGCUACCCUAGGGAUAACAGGCUGAUCGCCUCCAAGCGUCCACAGCGACGAGGCGGUUUGGCACCUCGAUGUCGGCUCAUCCUAUCCUGGAGGGGCAGUACCUUCCAAGGGUCGGGCUGUUCGCCCGUUAAAAGGGUACGCGAGCUGGGUUCAGAACGUCGUGAGACAGUUCGGUCUCUAUCCAGUAGAGUCGUGAAGUUCUUGAGGGGGUCCGCCCUCAGUACGAGAGGACCAGGGUGGAGAAACCUCUGGUGUGCCGGUUGUCGCGUCAGCGGCAGCGCCGGGUAGCUAAGUUUCUACGGGAUAACCGCUGAAAGCAUCUAAGUGGGAAGCCCUACCCAAGAUAAGGAACUGAUUAAGACAACCCGGGGAAGACUACCCCGUACAAGAGGCUGGCGGUGUAAGUGCGGUAACGCAUUUAGCCUACCAGUACUAAUAGGUUGAUUUAAAAACUAC